CCAUCAGACAGCACAGAACAUGGUGGGAUUGUUUUGUGGCUUUGCAUUGUGAGCAGCUGCCUCAGAGGCUGCUCGGGUGGGGAUUUACACCCAUUUACACACACACACCCAUUUACACCCAUUGACACCCACUUACACCCAUUUACACACAUUGACACCCACUUACACACAUUGACACCCACUUACACCCAUUUACACCCACUUACACCCACUUACACCCAUUUACACCCAUUGAUACCCACUUACACCCACUUACACCCAUUUACACACACACCCAUUUACACACACUUACACACAUUGACACCCACUUACAUUCACUUACACCCACUUACACCCAUUUACAC
This 344-nucleotide long non-coding RNA is filed under the name Zonotrichia albicollis (white-throated sparrow). Its description in RNAcentral is "lncRNA (ENSZALG00000002715.1)". The record is from RNAcentral. Lineage: Eukaryota; Metazoa; Chordata; Aves; Passeriformes; Passerellidae.